AUAACCUUGCAGCUGUGAGAAACGAAGGGAGGAAAGAAGAUAAAGCAGAAGCAGCGAGGUUUGGGGAGGGAGGCGUUGGUCCCUGGGGAUGCUCUCUGGCCACUGGGACCUAGACUCUGUUGAGAGGCGCCGGCGACUCUUUCCAUAAACCUGGGCAGACCCCUGAGCCACACCUGUCUGGAAGAUUUGAAGAUGCAAAGAAAGAGGGUGGGUGGCUAUUCAUUAAUGGAGCCUUUACUUUGCAGAAGUGCUCUCUCUCCUCUUCUGGCUUCCACAACUGUUCUGAGCUAUCUUGGUUUUCCUUGACCCCGAAGUCUCCUUUUGCAUCCUUUUCUUCCCCGCCCUCAGACUCCGUCCUCCAGAGCUCCUCCCUCAGCCCAGUCCUCAUCACUGGCUCUGUCUGCCCGUGCGAUCCCAUUUGCGCCCAUCGCUUCGACCGUUGCGAGUCUACAUCUGGAGCCUUUACGUCUCUCGGGAACUCCAGGAGCCGUGGUGCUGGCCAAGCAGCAUUGAGGAAGAAGAAGAAUGAGGGAGAAGGGAGAGCUGCCUGGGAGGCUGCGGGGACCCCUCACAGCCGUUCCUUGAGACCAGAGCUGCUCCUGCUUUGGCCAGUUUCACAACUGCCUGGGAACUUGGUUAUUCUCACCAAGCCUAGGACUAUCCUCCUCGGCAAGCGGGCCCUCUGUGUCCAUGGUGAGCUCUCCAGAGGAUGUGACACACACCGAAGUGAGAACCGUUGUCCUAGCUCAGUGGGUCUUCACACUGGCUGCAUGUGAGCAUCAACUGGAGAGCGUUUAAGACCACUGACACGCGAGCCCCAGCCAGGGCCAAUUAUAGCAGAUGCUCUGAGUAUGGAGGACAGGCUUUGCUACUUCAAACAGCCCCCAGAGAAUCCUAAUGUGCACCCAGGGCUGAGACCCACUGACCUGGAUCAAUGCUCCUGGUCAAUGCUGUUCACACUGCAACGUGCUGGAGGGUCACCUCCAGGAUCCUGUUUAAGGCGCAGCUUCUGAAUCAGCAGGUCUGGGGCGGAGCCUGCGAAUCUCCAUCUCUAACAAGCUCCCAGGUGCUGCUGCUGCCGUGGGGACCACAGUUUGAGUAGCAGGGGUGUUUUCCAGCCUUGCCUGAUGAUAAGAAUCACUUGUUUUUAUUAAUUAUACAAAUUCUAUGGAAAUAAAUGAAGGCCACUCAAAUGAGAACAAGCGAAGGCUAUUUAUUCGGAGCUUGCUCUAGCCAGGGAGUCAGCCACCACUGCUGGAGUUUAACAGAGACUCAAAGGCAGGCGGAGGGCGGGGAAAGGCCUAUAGAGGAUAAAAGAGAAGGCUCCAGAUGUGCCCAGAUUGGAGGCCAGCAGCUUGG
Molecule: long non-coding RNA, 1359 nt
Filed under: Equus caballus (horse)
Lineage: Eukaryota; Metazoa; Chordata; Mammalia; Perissodactyla; Equidae
Description: lncRNA (ENSECAG00000044864.1)
Source: RNAcentral